RNAcentral lists this ribosomal RNA (846 nucleotides) under Herbaspirillum sp. AKB-2008-LO9. RNAcentral's name for it is "bacterial SSU rRNA". It matches the Rfam family "Bacterial small subunit ribosomal RNA", at positions 21 to 861 of the family's 1533-position model. The record is from RNAcentral. Lineage: Bacteria; Pseudomonadati; Pseudomonadota; Betaproteobacteria; Burkholderiales; Oxalobacteraceae.
GGCUCAGAUUGAACGCUGGCGGCAUGCCUUACACAUGCAAGUCGAACGGCAGCACGGGAGCUUGCUCCUGGUGGCGAGUGGCGAACGGGUGAGUAAUAUAUCGGAACGUGCCCUAGAGUGGGGGAUAACUAGUCGAAAGAUUAGCUAAUACCGCAUACGAUCUAAGGAUGAAAGUGGGGGAUCGCAAGACCUCAUGCUCGUGGAGCGGCCGAUAUCUGAUUAGCUAGUUGGUGAGGUAAAGGCUCACCAAGGCGACGAUCAGUAGCUGGUCUGAGAGGACGACCAGCCACACUGGAACUGAGACACGGUCCAGACUCCUACGGGAGGCAGCAGUGGGGAAUUUUGGACAAUGGGCGAAAGCCUGAUCCAGCAAUGCCGCGUGAGUGAAGAAGGCCUUCGGGUUGUAAAGCUCUUUUGUCAGGGAAGAAACGGUAGAGGCUAAUAUCCUUUACUAAUGACGGUACCUGAAGAAUAAGCACCGGCUAACUACGUGCCAGCAGCCGCGGUAAUACGUAGGGUGCAAGCGUUAAUCGGAAUUACUGGGCGUAAAGCGUGCGCAGGCGGUUGUGCAAGACAGAUGUGAAAUCCCCGGGCUCAACCUGGGAAUUGCAUUUGUGACUGCACAGCUAGAGUGUGUCAGAGGGGGGUAGAAUUCCACGUGUAGCAGUGAAAUGCGUAGAUAUGUGGAGGAAUACCGAUGGCGAAGGCAGCCCCCUGGGAUAACACUGACGCUCAUGCACGAAAGCGUGGGGAGCAAACAGGAUUAGAUACCCUGGUAGUCCACGCCCUAAACGAUGUCUACUAGUUGUCGGGUCUUAAUUGACUUGGUAACGCAGCUAACGCGUG